RNAcentral lists this non-coding RNA (27 nucleotides) under Homo sapiens (human). The record is from RNAcentral. Lineage: Eukaryota; Metazoa; Chordata; Mammalia; Primates; Hominidae.
CUGGACCUGCAUCUUGGUUAUCAUGGA